CGAUAAGCUCACCGCCUGAAGGAGUACUGUCCGCAAGGCUAAUACUCGAAGAAAUUGACGGGGACCCGCACAAGCGGUGGAGUAUUCGGCUUAAUUCGAUGCAACGCGAAGAACCUUACCUGGCCUUGACAUGCAUUGUGUCGUCGGUGAAAGCCGGCUAGUCCUGGAAACAGGACGCUUUGCACAGGUGCUGCAUGGCUGUCGUCAGCUCGUGUCGUGAGAUGUUGGGUUAAGUCCCGCAACGAGCGCAACCCUUGUGGUCAGUUACUAACCGGCUUAGCCGGAGGACUCUGGCCAGACUGCCCUGUCAAACGGGGAGGAAGGUUGGGGACGACGUCAAGUCAGUAUGGCCCUUAUGGCCAGGGCUGCACACGUACUACAAUGCCCGGUACAAUGUGAACCGAAACCGCGAGGUGGAGGAAUCGCUCUGAAAACCGGGCCAGUUCGGAUUGGAGUCUGCAACUCGACUCCAUGAAGUCGGAAUCGCUAGUAAUGGCGUAUCAGCAACGACGCCGUGAUACGUUCCCGGGUCUUGUACACACCGCCCGUCACAUCAUGGAAGUCUCCUGUACCCGAAGCACGUGCGCCAACAUUUCAGGAGGCAGCGUUCGAAGG
RNAcentral lists this ribosomal RNA (615 nucleotides) under uncultured organism. RNAcentral describes it as "bacterial SSU rRNA". It matches the Rfam family "Bacterial small subunit ribosomal RNA", at positions 858 to 1462 of the family's 1533-position model. The record is from RNAcentral.